RNAcentral lists this long non-coding RNA (1090 nucleotides) under Nicotiana benthamiana. RNAcentral's name for it is "long non-coding RNA (NBEN_LNC022506)". The record is from RNAcentral. Lineage: Eukaryota; Viridiplantae; Streptophyta; Magnoliopsida; Solanales; Solanaceae.
UCUAAAUAUGGACAUUCACCUAAAAUAUAAUAUUUUAUAACAGACAAUGAAUACAUUCUGACUAUUUGUGUAAAAACCCCAUUUCGAAUAUACUAGUAGCUGAUUGAGCAUCAAAACUUUCCUCACUCUCAGACUGAUCUUCAACGCUUUCAAAGUCAUUCUCAGAAUCACUAACAACUUGAUCAUUUUCAGCAAUUUUUGAAUCUUCCCCUUCAAAUUCGGAAUCUAUAUCAACCACAUCGAGCUCUAAUUCAUCACUACUCUUUGAGGGAACAGUGUGGUUACUAGGAUUGUUACCUGAUGGAGGGCAUUCAGUGGUUGGAUUGUCAGGAGGAUUAGGGUCUGGAGGCUCUUGAGUAGUGUGGUAUGUGUGUGCAUUUUCUGUCUGGUUUUCUAGUAGUGGAGGGCUAAUUUGCAUUAUCUUUUUGGAUUUUAGGAACUGAGGUGGAUAUAUUUUGUUGUUUUGGAACAUCAGAAGUAGAGGCGAUAUCAGAUUGGUGAUUUGAUUUGGAAGUACUAUCAGGGAGCAUCUGAGAACCUGUCUUAAUGGAAGACUGCACAUUAGGGCUUGUUUGAGGUGUUGUGUUUUGAGGUUUGUUAGGCUUUGCAUUUGGAUUAACUUGGCUUGACUCAACUGUUAGUGGAGUUGGUUGUUUUGUGCUAUGAUGCUGAUGAGUACUAGUCUGUUGUUUGCUUUGAUAACUUGCCAUUGCACCCUUUUCUUUGGUCCAUUCUUGUACUUCGACGCCUCGUGGAAUUGGGCUAUAUGUUCAACUGGAUUGUUCUUGUCCAAAACUUGUUUAUGUUUGUCGUGCGUUCCGUCAUUUGUUAGCUGUAUAGUUGGUUGAUUUGCCCUCUCUGAUUGUGAAUUCUUCCAUGUGAGAAUAACUUCCUGAUGAGGUUGUUGUGGCAGCAUAUUGAAGUUAGUAUUCCCAGUUGUGUGUUGACGUAAUUUCUUUUUUCCUCUUUGAACUCUCCAUUGAUCAUCAAUCUCCUCAAUGUUGGUUGAGGCUUUAGCCUGAACUUCUUCAUCUCUUUUCUUAUUUCUGCAGGAGAGUAGAUCGUGACCUUGCAUACAACAAUAUUGGCA